Molecule: ribosomal RNA, 206 nt
Filed under: uncultured bacterium
Lineage: Bacteria
Description: partial 16S ribosomal RNA
Rfam family: Bacterial small subunit ribosomal RNA
Source: RNAcentral
CACGUAGGCGGAUCGAUCAGUUAGGGGUGAAAUCCCAGGGCUCAACCCUGGAACUGCCUCUAAUACUGUCGAUCUCGAGUUCGAGAGAGGUGAGUGGAAUUCCGAGUGUAGAGGUGAAAUUCGUAGAUAUUCGGAGGAACACCAGUGGCGAAGGCGGCUCACUGGCUCGAUACUGACGCUGAGGUGCGAAAGCGUGGGAGCAAACA